UGUCCAGUAGCACUUUAGAGACCAACUAAGUUUGUUCUUGGUAUAAGCUUUCGUGUGCAUCUGAAGUAUCUGAAGAAGUGUAUCUGAAGAAGUAUGCAUGCACAGGAAAGCUUAUACCAAGAACAAACUUAGCUGGUCUCUAAGGUGCUACUGGACA
Non-coding RNA from Podarcis lilfordi (Lilford's wall lizard), 157 nucleotides. The record is from the annotation of a GenBank genome assembly. Lineage: Eukaryota; Metazoa; Chordata; Lepidosauria; Squamata; Lacertidae.